UACGUAGGGUGCAAGCGUUAAUCGGAAUUACUGGGCGUAAAGCGUGCGCAGGCGGUUUUGUAAGACAGGUGUGAAAUCCCCGGGCUUAACCUGGGAACUGCAUUUGUGACUGCAAGGCUGGAGUGCGGCAGAGGGGGAUGGAAUUCCGCGUGUAGCAGUGAAAUGCGUAGAGAUGUGGAGGAACACCGAUGGCGAAGGCAGCCCCCUGGGUCGACACUGACGCUCAUGCACGAAAGCGUGGGUAGCAAACAGG
RNAcentral lists this ribosomal RNA (253 nucleotides) under uncultured bacterium. Its description in RNAcentral is "partial 16S ribosomal RNA". It matches the Rfam family "Bacterial small subunit ribosomal RNA", at positions 524 to 776 of the family's 1533-position model. The record is from RNAcentral.